CCAAUAGCGUAUAUUAAAGUUGUUGCAGUUAAAAAGCUCGUAGUUGAAUUUCGGGGUCAGUAGGUUGGUCAUGCCACUGGUAUGUACUGGUCUCACUGAUUCCUCCUUCCUGAUGAGCCGUAAUGCCAUUAAUUUGGUGUUGCGGGGAAUCUGGACUGUUACUUUGAAAAAAUUAGGGUGUUUAAAGCAGGCUAACGCUUGAAUACAUUAGCAUGGAAUAAUGAAAUAGGACGUUCGAUCUUAUUUUGUUGGUUUCUAAGAUUGACGUAAUGAUUAAUAGGGAUAGUUGGGGGCAUUAGUAUUCAAUUGUCAGAGGUGAAAUUCUUGGAUUUAUUGAAGACUAACUACUGCGAAAGCAUUUGCCAAGGAUGUUUUCAUUAACCAAGAACGAAAGUUAGGGGAUCGAAGACGAUCAGAUACCGUCGUAGUCUUAACCAUAAACUAUGCCGACUAGGGAUCGGAUGAUGUUAAUUUUUUAAUGACUCAUUCGGCGCCUUACG
RNAcentral lists this ribosomal RNA (500 nucleotides) under uncultured Glomeromycotina. RNAcentral's name for it is "partial small subunit ribosomal RNA". It matches the Rfam family "Eukaryotic small subunit ribosomal RNA", at positions 591 to 1092 of the family's 1831-position model. The record is from RNAcentral. Lineage: Eukaryota; Fungi; Glomeromycota.